This 973-nucleotide long non-coding RNA is filed under the name Homo sapiens (human). Its description in RNAcentral is "non-protein coding LINC01128:105". Lineage: Eukaryota; Metazoa; Chordata; Mammalia; Primates; Hominidae. The record is from RNAcentral.
AGCUUGGGUGCAUGUGAAGCCAGAGGAGCACUCCUGGGGCCUGCGGUGCCAUCACUCAGCUCCCCUGGGCUUCACAUGGCCAUGGAGCACCCAGCAAGUGUAGGCUCUGAGCCUUCAGGGAGGGGCGGCAUCAGCCAGCACCAUCGUCUCCUGGGUCUUGUGCCUCUUCCUUGGUUGCGGUGUUGUCAGGGCCAGAAUUGGGCAAUUCCGGGUGACAUCCAGGUGUGGCUGCUGACACGGAGCACAGGUGAGGUUCACUGAGGACACCCUGCUCCUGUGGUUUGCAGCCCCGGCCUUCUCUUCGAGGACGCCUCUGCUCUUCUGCCUCACACUCGGAUUGGACCUUCUUCAGCACAGCCAGUGGCCGAGGCUUCCUCCCUGGGGCUCAGUGGAGCAGGACAGAUGCUGCAUCCAAACUCUUCCAUUGGGUUCCAGUCUGUUCCAGUCAUGCCCUUGAGCCUCUAAAGCUCCUAGGUGAGAGACGUAGCAGCUGACAGCACUUCCCACUUGAUUUGGGUGGACUCCAGCCUCCCCAGCAACAAUAAGAGAUCAAAAGCAUCGUUGAGGAAGCAGCUUGCUGAAACGCUGAGUGCCCGCCACUCUCAGGUCAGGUGGGACCGGCAGGCCAGCAUGAGUUCCUGAACACUUGGUUCUCAAUACUGGCCACAGCCACACUGUAAGGGGAAACAAGAGGGCACUGUAUGCAAACAUCUCUUGAACUCUGGAGUCUGCUCACCUUCCUGCCUCAAGCCCCUCUCCCACGUGGUCCAGUCACCAUUCUCCACAGAGACUACCCUAAAACCCAGCGACUCUCGUGUGCCUGCAGAAUGGCACAGCCCGUUCUCAUAGCAGCACUCCUGUUUAAUCAGAGGGAUGUUAACGACCAAGUCAUAUUUGCUCGAUUUGUGUUCAACAUAUUUCAUUUGUACCGAUAAAACUUAAAAAUAUCCCCACACAUGCAUUGCCUAUUAAA